Molecule: long non-coding RNA, 699 nt
Filed under: Linum usitatissimum (flax)
Lineage: Eukaryota; Viridiplantae; Streptophyta; Magnoliopsida; Malpighiales; Linaceae
Description: long non-coding RNA (LUSI_LNC002236)
Source: RNAcentral
UGAAGCCUUCGGUUGAUAAUCCGUGGGAGGAUUGCGUGGAUAGGUAUCCUGUUGAGUCGGUGUUUGAACUUUCUGAAGCAGCAGCUAAAGGGUCUUGAUCAUCCUUGGAAGAAAUGAGUAAUCCAUGGUGUUAACAGGUAUAACUGUGUGUUAUUUAUCAUUGUACUUGAGUUAGCUAAUGAACGAUGGUCAUAAAAAUUGAAGGGUUAUCCUCUGCUUUUUUGUGUUUUAUAAUUGAUGUGGGAUCAUAUUGUAGUUUGAGGAUAGUGAGAACAUGGAAUUAUUGAUUGUAUGGCAGUUAGAGAGAGAUGGUUGUAGUCUGAAGAAAUGGUGGUGAGAUUCUGGAGUUGGUCCCCCUAACAGCUGUAGUGCAUCACCAAAGUUGUGAUUUCCCUUUCCUUAUAUCUGAAGAUGAUGCCUUUGCUAUUAUUCUCUAUAGACUAUAAUCGUUAAGGGACCAAAUUCUUUUCGAACAUUUCGUAGCGUUGGCAGGGCCAAGCCGAAACUGGGUCGCUGAUCAUCAAGGCCAGUUCUUGACAGUCGGAUAGGAUGUAAAAUCGGUAGAAAAUCCAAGAGCCUACUUUGGAGGCUUCCAGAAUUGUAAGGGCGAGGAGCUGUAGAAGGUCCUCCCCAUCCUCCGGUCUGUUACUUGUCACGGGUAUUUGAAAUGACAUUAACAGGCCGUAUUUAGAAAGGACC